UAGAGUUUGAUCCUGGCUCAGGACGAACGCUGGCGGCGUGCCUAACACAUGCAAGUCGAACGGAACUGUUUUGAAAGAUUUCUUCGGAAUGAAUUUGAUUUAGCUUAGUGGCGGACGGGUGAGUAACGCGUGAGUAACCUGCCUUCAAGAGGGGGAUAACAUUCUGAAAAGAAUGCUAAUACCGCAUGACAUAUCGGAACCACAUGGUUCUGAUAUCAAAGAUUUUAUCGCUUGAAGAUGGACUCGCGUCCGAUUAGUUAGUUGGUGAGGUAACGGCUCACCAAGACCGCGAUCGGUAGCCGGACUGAGAGGUUGAACGGCCACAUUGGGACUGAGACACGGCCCAGACUCCUACGGGAGGCAGCAGUGGGGGAUAUUGCGCAAUGGGGGCAACCCUGACGCAGCAACGCCGCGUGAAGGAUGAAGGUUUUCGGAUUGUAAACUUCUUUUAUUAAGGACGAAAAAUGACGGUACUUAGUGAAUAAGCUCCGGCUAACUACGUGCCAGCAGCCGCGGUAAUACGUAGGGAGCAAGCGUUGUCCGGAUUUACUGGGUGUAAAGGGUGCGUAGGCGGCUUUGCAAGUCAGAUGUGAAAUCUAUGGGCUCAACCCAUAAACUGCAUUUGAAACUGUAGAGCUUGAGUGAAGUAGAGGCAGGCGGAAUUCCCCGUGUAGCGGUGAAAUGCGUAGAGAUGGGGAGGAACACCAGUGGCGAAGGCGGCCUGCUGGGCUUUAACUGACGCUGAGGCACGAAAGCGUGGGUAGCAAACAGGAUUAGAUACCCUGGUAGUCCACGCUGUAAACGAUGAUUACUAGGUGUGGGGGGUCUGACCCCUUCCGUGCCGGAGUUAACACAAUAAGUAAUCCACCUGGGGAGUACGGCCGCAAGGUUGAAACUAAAAGGAAUUGACGG
This 912-nucleotide ribosomal RNA is filed under the name uncultured bacterium. RNAcentral describes it as "bacterial SSU rRNA". It matches the Rfam family "Bacterial small subunit ribosomal RNA", at positions 1 to 916 of the family's 1533-position model. The record is from RNAcentral.